GAGUUUGAUCAUGGCUCAGGACGAACGCUGGCGGCGUGCUUAACACAUGCAAGUCGAACGGAACUUUCGGGUUCAGUGGCAAACGGGUGAGUAACGCGUAGGUAAUCUGCCGCAAAGAUGGGGACAACAGUUCGAAAGGACUGCUAAUACCGAAUGUUGUACAGCUUUUGCAUGAAGGUUGUACCAAAGAUUUAUCGCUUUGCGAGGAGCCUGCGUCCGAUUAGGCAGUUGGCGAGGUAACGGCUCACCAAACCGACGAUCGGUAACCGGUCUGAGAGGAUGAACGGUCACAUUGGAACUGAGACACGGUCCAGACUCCUACGGGAGGCAGCAGUGGGGAAUAUUCCACAAUGGGGGGAACCCUGAUGGAGCGACGCCGCGUGAGUGAAGAAGGGUUUCGACUCGUAAAGCUCUUUUCUUCUUGACGAAUGACUAAUUGGAUUAGUAGGGACCGUAAAGAGGGAAUAAGCCACGGCUCCCCCCCCCAGCAGCCGCGGUAAUACGUAGGUGGCAAGCGUUGUCCGGAAUUAUUGGGAAGGGGGGGAGGGCGGGCGGAAAUUUAAGUCGCAAAAAAAAGUGCAGCAGUAAAAGUUGUGAUGGGUGCGAAACUGGAAUUCGUGAGAGCAGGAGAGGCAAGCGGAAUUCCCGGUGUAGCGGUGAAAUGCGUAGAGAUCGGGAGGAACACCAGUGGCGAAGGCGGCUUGCCGGACUGUAUCUGACGCUGAGGCUCGAAAGCCGGGGUAGCGAACGGGAUUAGAUACCCCGGUAGUCCCGGCUGUAAACGAUGAGUGCCAGGUGUGGGAGGUAUCGACUCCUCCCGUGCCGGAGUUAACGCAAUAAGCACUCCGCCUGGGGAGUACGGUCGCAAGACUGAAACUCAAAGGAAUUGACGGGGGCCCGCACAAGCGGUGGAGUAUGUGGUUUAAUUCGACGCAACGCGAAGAACCUUACCAAGCCUUGACAUUGAACGCAAUUCUAUGAAAGUAGAAGUCCUCUUCGGAGGCGUGAAAACAGGUGGUGCAUGGCUGUCGUCAGCUCGUGUCGUGAGAUGUUGGGUUAAGUCCCGCAACGAGCGCAACCCCUGCACUGUGUUGCCAGCGAGUAAAGUCGGGGACUCACAGAGGACAGCCCGGGAUAACCGGGAGGAAGGCGGGGAUGACGUCAAGUCAUCAUGCCCCAUAUGGCUUGGGCUACACACGUACUACAAUGGGACGGAACAAAGGGAAGCGAGGCCGUGAGGCGGAGCAAAACCGAAAAAACGUGCCACAGUUCGGAUUGCAGGCUGAAACUCGCCUGCAUGAAGUCGGAAUCGCUAGUAAUCGCAGGUCAGCAUACUGCGGUGAAUACGUUCCCGGGCCUUGUACACACCGCCCGUCACACCACGGAAGUCGAUCACACCCGAAGUACCGCAAGGUCCUAAGGCGGGGUCGGUGACUGGGGUGAAGUCGUAACAA
This 1454-nucleotide ribosomal RNA is filed under the name uncultured bacterium. Its description in RNAcentral is "bacterial SSU rRNA". It matches the Rfam family "Bacterial small subunit ribosomal RNA". The record is from RNAcentral.